AGAGUUUGAUCAUGGCUCAGAUUGAACGCUGGCGGCAGGCCUAACACAUGCAAGUCGAGCGGUAGCACAGAGAGCUUGCUCUCGGGUGACGAGCGGCGGACGGGUGAGUAAUGUCUGGGAAACUGCCUGAUGGAGGGGGAUAACUACUGGAAACGGUAGCUAAUACCGCAUAAUGUCGCAAGACCAAAGUGGGGGACCUUCGGGCCUCAUGCCAUCAGAUGUGCCCAGAUGGGAUUAGCUAGUAGGUGGGGUAACGGCUCACCUAGGCGACGAUCCCUAGCUGGUCUGAGAGGAUGACCAGCCACACUGGAACUGAGACACGGUCCAGACUCCUACGGGAGGCAGCAGUGGGGAAUAUUGCACAAUGGGCGCAAGCCUGAUGCAGCCAUGCCGCGUGUGUGAAGAAGGCCUUCGGGUUGUAAAGCACUUUCAGCGGGGAGGAAGGCGAUAAGGUUAAUAACCUUGUCGAUUGACGUUACCCGCAGAAGAAGCACCGGCUAACUCCGUGCCAGCAGCCGCGGUAAUACGGAGGGUGCAAGCGUUAAUCGGAAUUACUGGGCGUAAAGCGCACGCAGGCGGUCUGUCAAGUCGGAUGUGAAAUCCCCGGGCUUAACCUGGGAACUGCAUUCGAAACUGGCAGGCUAGAGUCUUGUAGAGGGGGGUAGAAUUCCAGGUGUAGCGGUGAAAUGCGUAGAGAUCUGGAGGAAUACCGGUGGCGAAGGCGGCCCCCUGGACAAAGACUGACGCUCAGGUGCGAAAGCGUGGGGAGCAAACAGGAUUAGAUACCCUGGUAGUCCACGCCGUAAACGAUGUCGAUUUGGAGGUUGUGCCCUUGAGGCGUGGCUUCCGGAGCUAACGCGUUAAAUCGACCGCCUGGGGAGUACGGCCGCAAGGUUAAAACUCAAAUGAAUUGACGGGGGCCCGCACAAGCGGUGGAGCAUGUGGUUUAAUUCGAUGCAACGCGAAGAACCUUACCUGGUCUUGACAUCCACAGAACUUUCCAGAGAUGGAUUGGUGCCUUCGGGAACUGUGAGACAGGUGCUGCAUGGCUGUCGUCAGCUCGUGUUGUGAAAUGUUGGGUUAAGUCCCGCAACGAGCGCAACCCUUAUCCUUUGUUGCCAGCGGUUAGGCCGGGAACUCAAAGGAGACUGCCAGUGAUAAACUGGAGGAAGGUGGGGAUGACGUCAAGUCAUCAUGGCCCUUACGACCAGGGCUACACACGUGCUACAAUGGCAUAUACAAAGAGAAGCGACCUCGCGAGAGCAAGCGGACCUCAUAAAGUAUGUCGUAGUCCGGAUUGGAGUCUGCAACUCGACUCCAUGAAGUCGGAAUCGCUAGUAAUCGUAGAUCAGAAUGCUACGGUGAAUACGUUCCCGGGCCUUGUACACACCGCCCGUCACACCAUGGGAGUGGGUUGCAAAAGAAGUAGGUAGCUUAACCUUCGGGAGGGCGCUUACCACUUUGUGAUUCAUGACUGGGGUGAAGUCGUAACAAGGUAACCGUAGGGGAACCUGCGGUUG
RNAcentral lists this ribosomal RNA (1520 nucleotides) under Klebsiella pneumoniae. RNAcentral's name for it is "bacterial SSU rRNA". It matches the Rfam family "Bacterial small subunit ribosomal RNA". The record is from RNAcentral. Lineage: Bacteria; Pseudomonadati; Pseudomonadota; Gammaproteobacteria; Enterobacterales; Enterobacteriaceae. RNAcentral also lists the same sequence under 1 other name.